GGCGGACGGGUGAGGAAUACAUCGGAAUCUACUCUGUCGUGGGGGAGUAACGUAGGGAAACUUACGCUAAUACCGCAUACGACCUACGGGUGAAAGCAGGGAUCUUCGGACCUUGCGCGAUUGAAUGAGCCGAUGUCGGAUUAGCUAGUUGGCGGGGUAAAGGCCCACCAAGGCGACGAUCCGUAGCUGGUCUGAGAGGAUGAUCAGCCACACUGGAACUGAGACACGGUCCAGACUCCUACGGGAGGCAGCAGCA
This 256-nucleotide ribosomal RNA is filed under the name uncultured Stenotrophomonas sp. Its description in RNAcentral is "partial 16S ribosomal RNA". It matches the Rfam family "Bacterial small subunit ribosomal RNA", at positions 97 to 355 of the family's 1533-position model. Lineage: Bacteria; Pseudomonadati; Pseudomonadota; Gammaproteobacteria; Lysobacterales; Lysobacteraceae. The record is from RNAcentral.